CAGAAAUGAGGAUGCUGUGACACUUUGCCCUCCUGGACGUCUCUGGGGACGCUGGUUGUCUUGAUGAGCUGCUAAAGGAGGUGGGCUCAGGUGAAGAAUCUAUUAAUAUGCAUAAAAGGCCAGAUGGACUGGCCGAAGCCUGGAGCACAAAGGUAAACACAUUGUGAUACAUUCUUUCUCAAUUGGUUGAUUCAUUGCUUCUGAAGGGUAAAUGAGCUGUAGAGGUACCACAGGAAAAACAUCUCCCACAAUAUAGACACUAUUACAGGAAGCCUUGGAAGAUCAAAUCAGCUUUGUCAAAAAGCCUCAAGUUGUAAGGUUGAAUGAAGUUGAAUAUGCAGAAUAAACUGAAGGUGCAGAUUGCCCCAGAGGAAAAAUAAAUGACUACAUUUUUCUGCAUUAUUAUCAACACUGAAGCCUAGCCAACAAGAAACCCU
RNAcentral lists this long non-coding RNA (437 nucleotides) under Homo sapiens (human). RNAcentral describes it as "HSALNT0174501". The record is from RNAcentral. Lineage: Eukaryota; Metazoa; Chordata; Mammalia; Primates; Hominidae.